ACAAGCGGUGGAGUAUGUGGUUUAAUUCGAUGCAACGCGAAGAACCUUACCUGGUCUUGACAUCCCGGAGACCCUUAGGAAACUAGGGGUGCUUCCAUCUGGAAGAAUCUGGAGACAGGUGCUGCAUGGCUGUCGUCAGCUCGUGUCGUGAGAUGUUGGGUUAAGUCCCGCAACGAGCGCAACCCUUGCCUUUAGUUGCCAGCAGUUCGGCUGGGCACUCUAAAGGGACUGCCGGUGUUAAACCGGAGGAAGGUGGGGAUGACGUCAAGUCCUCAUGGCCUUUAUGACCAGGGCUACACACGUACUACAAUGGCCGAUACAAAGGGCAGCGACACUGCGAGGUGAAGCCAAUCCCGUAAAAUCGGUCUCAGUCCGGAUUGGAGUCUGCAACUCGACUCCAUGAAGUUGGAUUCGCUAGUAAUCGCGCAUCAGCCAUGGCGCGGUGAAUACGUUCCCGGGCCUU
This 463-nucleotide ribosomal RNA is filed under the name uncultured Desulfobulbus sp. RNAcentral describes it as "bacterial SSU rRNA". It matches the Rfam family "Bacterial small subunit ribosomal RNA", at positions 925 to 1382 of the family's 1533-position model. The record is from RNAcentral. Lineage: Bacteria; Pseudomonadati; Thermodesulfobacteriota; Desulfobulbia; Desulfobulbales; Desulfobulbaceae.